AUUGAACGCUGGCGGCAGGCCUAACACAUGCAAGUCGAGCGGAUGAAGGGAGCUUGCUCCUGGAUUCCGCGGCGGACGGGUGAGUAAUGCCUAGGAAUCUGCCUGGUAGUGGGGGAUAACGUCCGGAAACGAGCGCUAAUACCGCAUACGUCCAGAGGGAGAAAGUGGGGGAUCUUCGGACAUCACGCUAUCAGAUGAGCCUAGGUCGGAUUAGCUAGUUGGUGGGGUAAAGGCCUACCAAGGCGACGAUCCGUAACUGGUCUGAGAGGAUGAUCAGUCACCCUGGAACUGAGACACGGUCCAGACUCCUACGGGAGGCAGCAGUGGGGAAUAUUGGACAGUGGGCGAAAGCCUGAUCCAGCCAUGCCGCGUGUGUGAAGAAGGUCUUCGGAUUGUAAAGCACUUUAAGUUGGGAGGAAGGGCAGUAAGUUAAUACCUUGCUGUUUUGACGUUACCAACAGAAUAAGCACCGGCUAACUUCGUG
Molecule: ribosomal RNA, 484 nt
Filed under: uncultured bacterium
Lineage: Bacteria
Description: partial 16S ribosomal RNA
Rfam family: Bacterial small subunit ribosomal RNA
Source: RNAcentral